GGCGGAGCCACUAGCAGCCGCCCGCCCACUCAGCGGGACCUCGGCGCCCGCGCUGGGAGCUGAGCUGAAGGGCGUUUGGCUCCUCUAUCAGCCAUGCCAGGGUCUGUCCGGUCAGCCUUGCAGUGGCAGUAGUGGCAAUGGUGAGGGUCGCAUCAGCAAGUAGAUACCUAAAAUCCUGAGGGAGCUCAUCCAGGCUGUCACACUACAUUUAGUUGUCAAGUCUCCUUAGUCUCCUCUUGGCGGUGACAAAUUUUCAGACUCUUCUUGUUUUCGAUGACCUUGACAGUAUUGAAGAGCACUGGUCAGUGCCAUUCUCAUCAUACUUAUCAACAUACACUCUUGAUGUUGGCCUUGAUCACAUGGCUGAGGUGGUUUCGGUUAGCUGUCUCCACGUGGGUGACGGGGUGCCGCAUGAAACUACCCCCGCUGGAGCCAACCCCAAGGCAGAGCCACGCUCUUCCCUCGGCCAUCUCCUCUGGCUGCAGACUGUGUAAGGGAGGGCGGCCAGCCCAGGACUGGAUGAUCGAUGUGGUGAGAGCCGGCGGCUGACACCGCGCCGGGAUGCUGCCUGUAAUCCCGCUUCGGCGACGUUGGCACCUUGGGCCCACCCGUGGGCUGCUGUGCUGGCUCACCACUUCCGGGCGAGGAGGGGUCAGCUCUUGAGUUGGGGCUCCAUCGGGGGAAGACUUCCGUUCCAGGGGCUUCCUCCUCGGUUCCGGGGACCAAGGCAGAAGCUGAGCUCCAUUCUCCUGGCUGCUCGGCACCGCAGCAGAGGCCAGCAGGCUGCAGCCCCGGCCCCAAAGGCCAGGCUCCCCCCAGCUCCCUGCUCACCUGUGACUGGCUCCCCAGAUGCAGGUGCCAAUGCUCAAGGCAGCCUCUGGGAACCCUGAGGGGCUUGUGUUUUAAGAAGAGACAGUGGGAGUGUGAUAGCAAGAGGCAGCUGUGCAAAGUGGUCAGGCUGGUCACCUGCAGAGUGAGACCACAAGCACUAGGACCAGCGGGGAGGGCCGGCUCCUGAGCCUCAAAACUGGAACCACGGGGCGGGUGCUUAGGGCAGGCAGAGGCAGGGAACCAGGGCUGGCAGUGCCUGUGGUGUUGAGCACCCGGGGUGAGCUUGGUUGGUCUGCCUGCCAGAGGCACACUAAAUCUGAACCUUCUGCUUCUCCAUUUUCUCAGCUGUAAAAUGGGAAUAAGGAGCCAAUUCACCUCACAGAGCUGCUGUGAGGACAUGAGGUUGGUGCCUGGUAUACUAAAAAUGUAGGGCAGUCCGGGUGGCUCAGUGGCUUAGCCCCGCCUUCAGCCCAGGGCCUGAUCCUGGAGACCCGGGAUCAAGUCCCACAUCUGGCUCCCUGCAUGGAGCCUGCUUCUCCCUCUGCCUG
Molecule: long non-coding RNA, 1379 nt
Organism: Canis lupus familiaris (dog)
Lineage: Eukaryota; Metazoa; Chordata; Mammalia; Carnivora; Canidae
Exons: 7
Source: RefSeq, a predicted model, not a curated record